Molecule: unclassified non-coding RNA, 253 nt
Filed under: plant metagenome
Description: partial contains small subunit ribosomal RNA, internal transcribed spacer 1, and 5.8S ribosomal RNA
Rfam family: Eukaryotic small subunit ribosomal RNA (bases 1-54)
Source: RNAcentral
GGAAGUAAAAGUCGUAAUAAGGUCUCCGUUGGUGAACCAGCGGAGGGAUCAUUACAGAGUUGCAAAACUCCCAAACCAUUGUGAACGUUACCUAUCCCGUCGCUUCGGCGGGCGGCCCGGGCCCCGCGCCCGGCGCCCCCCGGCCCCCCGUGGGCGCCCGCCGGAGGUAAACCACACCCUUGAAUUGCAUGGCCUCUCUGAGUCUUCUGUACUGAAUAAGUCAAAACUUUCAACAACGGAUCUCUUGGUUCUG